GGUGAGUGCAUUUGUCUUCAAGAGAGAGGGGCCAGAAUUCUGCUGGAAGAAAUCUAUCAAAAUGUCUCUGAUGGAGAAAUGAUGAAGCAAUGAGCAAGUUUACAAACGGUUCUUAUUUGACAGCUGCCAUACUCAGGACACCCACAGAUGUUUGACAAAUGGAGAGGUGAAUUUUCUGGCCAUUCUGAAUAGCCUACAGAGAAAUACUGGGAGCCUACUGAGAACCCUGCUUAAAUCUCAGAGUCCUUUUAAAACUCCCCUUUAUUGCCAUGUUCAAUUUAGGUUUCUCCAUGUGUACCAGAAAAAGAGAGAUUAUAAAAACAUUAUGACCAGACAUAGA
RNAcentral lists this long non-coding RNA (340 nucleotides) under Phasianus colchicus (ring-necked pheasant). RNAcentral's name for it is "lncRNA (ENSPCLG00000002462.1)". Lineage: Eukaryota; Metazoa; Chordata; Aves; Galliformes; Phasianidae. The record is from RNAcentral.